UCCCGUUUAGCUCAGUUGGUAGAGCGCGUCACUAGUAUUUGCCGAUAAGCAUGCUAUGACGAGGUCAGUCGUUCGAGUCGGCUAAUGGGAA
Molecule: non-coding RNA, 91 nt
Organism: Cubamyces lactineus
Lineage: Eukaryota; Fungi; Basidiomycota; Agaricomycetes; Polyporales; Polyporaceae
Source: the annotation of a GenBank genome assembly